UUCUUGACCCAUUUUGUAGUUCACUCUCGCCUUCUAUGGUUGAAGCUCUUGUAUGUACUCAAAAUUGGCUUCGAAGCAACCUUCCAAUUUCUCUUCGAAAGGCGAUGGAUGAUGUGGAGGAAUUUGAGCAAUAUGACUCGGGUACUUUGGAGUCAAGCUCAUCUUCAACUUCAACCUAUAAUGUUGAUGCUAUAAUUGAUCUCUAAUAUCCAUUUGAUCAUUGGGUUCAUCAACCAAAUGCAUGGAAUUGGAAUUGGAAUUCGAAUUUGUGAAAGUUGGAUUGGAUGCGAAUGAAGUUUGACAACAUGUGAAUGAAGGAUUGGAAUUGAAAUGUUUUUAUUUUAUUUCAUGGGUUUGUAUUGAAUGAAGUUUAACAACAAUUUUUUUUUU
Long non-coding RNA from Camellia sinensis, 390 nucleotides. RefSeq lists it as uncharacterized. Lineage: Eukaryota; Viridiplantae; Streptophyta; Magnoliopsida; Ericales; Theaceae. The record is from RefSeq and is a predicted model, not a curated record.